CCAAUACCUCUGUCCUUUAGAAGCUCACAAACAUGGAUUACAUUAUCAAAACGGAUUGUAGCUGAGACAUAUUAGAAACAUCUACAUUUGUGUCAAAUUUUACAGAAAACUUUUAUGCAAAAUUUAAUUCUCCCAGUUCCACUCACUUUUCCUCUUCAUCAUUUCAUAAAAACUUUCCCAUCUUUCUCUGAAAUUGUCCCUGUCUUUUAUUUCUUCUAGUACAACAAUAUUCCAUUUGUUCAAUCAUUUCCCAAGUGAUGUCAUCUUUUUAAUCUCCAGUUCUCAGCAGUUAGAAAAAAACUGGUAUAAAUGUUUUUGUAUAUAUAAGAUUUAAAAAGUAGUUGUUAAAUAUAUAUAUAUAUAUAUAUAUAUAUAAAUAUACAUACAAUACACACACACACACACACACACACAUAUAUAUUUAGCUACAAUGGAGAAAAAAGAAGAUCCGAGAAGGGAUAGGCUUGCCAAGGGGACAGAUGAGACAAUGUUAUCUGAUGACAGAAAGAACUAAGAGACAUUUUGCCCUGCAAAUGAUUAAUAGGCUAAAUCAGGAUAAAUAAGGUACCAGUAGGGGAGCACUGCUGAUGAAAUCCCACUGGACCAAAUCACUAAAUUCUUAAACUGACAGAUGAGACUGCAAAGCCCUCCACUCUUGAUCCUUAAUAGACUUUGGGACAUGGAGGAAGUGUGGUAGUACUAGAGAAAGACAAAUGUACUGAUUGUCCUUCCCCCCACCCCACCACUCCCCCCCAAAAAGUGAAAGAGAACAAUGUGCAAACCAGAGCCCGGUCACAUUAAUUUCAAUUUUUGGGAAGACUCUAGAACAGAUCACUAAAUCUAGAUCAUUAAAGAUUAUUAUCUUUAAAGAUCAUUAAAGAGAUGGCUAGUGAAUAUUCAGAAAAGGAAAACAUUUCUAGAGAUCUUGCAUGAUGUCACAUCAAAAGUAGGUCAUACCACAGCUAUGACGAGUCUCAGACUCACAUAGACAGUACAGAGAGAUAGAUAAAUAGAUGGAUAGAUGGAUGAAUGGAUGGAUGGAUACCCAAUACCAUGUGAGAGUAGGCUGUGUAGAAAAUGGGGCAGAGGUAGGGGCACUAGCAGAGUCUCUUCUCUCCCAUCAUGGAAAGUCCAAGAAAGUAAGUAAGCUUCUCAACAUGGUCACCAGAGAAGGGGGUGGAGGGACAAAGAGGAACAAAUAAAAUCUUUCCCAAUGACAGACUUCCAGCUGUUUAAGACAGUGAUCAUACUUAUUCUCCUACCACCUCAAGCUUUUAGCUUAUUAGAACAGCACUAAAACACUCUACCCUCUAGUUUUGUUUCUUCCUAUCCAUGCCAAAGGGCAUAAAGAUCAAUCUCUCCCACCACCCUAAGCAGACAGCACCCCCCCUCCAUACACACAUACACACAUCCCUUCUGUUCCUCUCUCUGCAAACCUCUUCUGUUUCCUGCAGCCCAAAGCUGGGGCAGAAGAGUUUGAAGGGAAGCUUGAAAGUACCCUAAAUUGUCCCACGGUGAGCACAGGGGACAGAACACCUGGACCAAGUUCUGCCCUAGCCUUGUGUACUUACUAGAUAUGGGAUCAUGAGUACGACACAAAAUCCCAAAAUCUCCAUAGUUUCCCCUUCUUUUCUUCUUCUUGAAGGAACUGGAGUCAAAUGCCAGAGGCUGGAUUUGAAUUCAGGUUUUCCAGACUCCAGAGCCAGUACUAUCUCCCUGCUUCAGGAAACUGCAAGAUGGGGAUAAUUUCACUACCUCACUGGUUUGUUCUGAGGAAAGUGGUUUGCAAAUCUUCGUGUUACAUAAUGAGUUAAUGUUAUAGAACAUAUGAUUUAGAAAGGAUUUAGAUAUAGAGAUUAUAACCCCUGAGAGCCUAGAUCUCUUGCCAUCUGAGCAUCUGAACCCAAUCCCAGUCCCCAACCUCUUCAGUACCAACUACACGGGGGAGGGGAGGAAGGAAUCAAAUAAUAUCACCUAAAGCACUUUAUGGUUUGAAAAAUACUUUACAUAUAUAAUGUGUGUACAUAUGUAUAUACUAUCCUCAUAUCCUCAAACUUUCUGAAGUUUUAAGCUUAAAACUUUGAGGACAUCCCAUAUUAUUUCAUUUGAUCUUCACAACCACCAUAUGAGGUAGGUGCUAUGAUUAUCUUCAUUUUAUAGAUAAAGAAAUUGAGGUUAACAUAAAGUGAUUUGCCCAGGGUUCAAAUUAGUCAGUGUCUGAGGUAGGAUUCAAAUGUGUCUCCUCGACUCCGGGUCCGUCUCUCUAUUAUAUUUCCGGCUAUUAAACCCCAAAUUUGUGGGGAAGGGGGAUUGGGUGAAUCAAAGAUAUCUCAACCCUCCACACCCAUUGAGUCUCUAUCCCUCUGGACCUAGUCCUGAGUCUUACACAGCCUAGUCUCAGCGCCGACAUCUUAAGGUGAGAAAAUCCAAACAAUUUUCAGUUUAUUAUGGCAAAUAAAUUCUCUUCUUUAUCGUCUCUGAAUCAAUUAAUAUUUGUUAACAUUAACUGUCUGCGCGUCAGGCAGUGGCCAAGGACAAAAGCGAGACAAUUGCUAUUCUCCAGAAGUUCGCGCCUGUGUGCGUUUAUAUGUGUGACCCAGGUAGCAGACGUGGGUUCGCGCACAUGUUCAUACGCACCCACAUGCAAAUGUAUGCACAAUGAGGGUGGUUCUGUCACGUAGAGGUAAGCAUAUGGGUACGUGUCACAAGCACGCACAGCUUCCUUGCCAAGGAGGCCGGGGAGGUCCCGCUGCCGCGGAGCCUGGUGACCGGUACAGGACAGGCCCCGCUCUCUGGUUUAUCGCCGAUAUUCUAUAACCGGUUCUGGUCAUUUAAUCGGGUGGGUGGGGGGGGGGGGGGGAACUGAUGGUGUAGGUUAAACGGGCGCACACUCAAAAGGCACCGACAACUGGGCGGGAGGCCGCUCUUCCUCCUUGCCUGUAUCUCUCCCAGGAAAACGGCAAAAUCCCUGGGAAGCCGAGACGGGGAGCGAGCCCUGAGAACACGGCGCACACAAGGAGACGCACCCACCGGCGCGCGCGGUGUGGGCGGACUCCCGGUAUGACUAGAACGGCAGGGAGUCAGACUCACUGAGCCUCGCUGCGCUCUCCUUCCGGCGCUGCUGGUUCCGCGCUCCACUGAAUGCAGGAUUCGGACUAGGUCAGAGUCCCGUUUAGUUAAUUACGUGCCCUCUCAGAAGGCGCCGGGCGGCGGGAAUGUGGCUGAAAAAGGAAGGACGGGGAUCGAAAACUCCCAAGGCCAGGAGCGCGUCCGUGUUUGUAGGCAUAGCCUGGAUGCCGGUCUGGCCCGGCCCCGCCCCCGUCCGUUGGCGGGAACAUCAGUCUGCGAGUGUUCUAUGCCGGGUCACACGGAGCGCCCCUCUAGACCUCGGGUGCGAGGACCUACUUCAGUGCUCCCAAGGGGCGUGGUCAGCCCGGUGCUAUGCUGCGACCCCUUGAGGGUUUUCCUAGCAAAGCUCCUGGAGUGGUCUGUCGUUCCUUCUCCAGCUCAUUUUACAGAUGAAAUUGAAAGAGAGUUAGAUGAAUUGCCCAGGGUCACACAGCUAAGUAGUGUUAAGCGGCCACAUUUGAAUUCAGGAAGAGGAGUCUUCCUGAUGCGGGAUCCUGCUGACUGACUCCACUGUGGCCCCUACUAGUUGAGAGGAGCGGGAGGAGCUUUGUACCGACACCUCCGAUCCAGGAGGGGACGCUGUGGCCGACUCUAUCCCUUCCUUCCCCUCCUUUCCCUAUUUUGCGCUUGCCCAGACCAGGCGGAAGUGACGCUGUGAGCUUUGCAUUAUAAACCAUCCCGCGGGCUUUCGUCCUUCCUUUCACAGCUGCAGCCAUGGAGUUCGUUUUGUUUUUCCGGUGUUCUGCCUCUAGUCGCUCGAGACCAGCCGGGCUUCCCAGGCUCUGGAGUCGCCGGCGACUUGAGCCUCCGUGAGUUUUCUCGCCGCGCAGGACCAGCGAGAGUUGAAUCGGGCCUUUGCCGUGGUGGCUGGCCUUUCUGCAGUAGCGGGAGCCUGGCUUUCGGGAAGUCCACGUGGACCGCAGGUUUGCCUUUUUAUCCUACCGCGUUCUUCGAAUGACCCUUCAUCUACAACGGACUGCUCCUUGGAACUGGACUCUAGCCUGCAUUUGUGAAAGACCACAAAACGCCAAGAAAAAUAAAAUUCAUGCUUGCUAAUGCUUCCCAGGGACUCUUGCCUCUUCUGCAUUGUUAAAAAAGAAUGAACAAGAACAGAUGUUAAGAAGCCUGGUCAUGAAGGAUCAUAUUUAAAAGCAUUGGUUCCUGUUGUAUCACCAUGGUAGACAAGAGGAUUACCUGGGUCUUAAGUCUCCUGUCCUCUGAAAAACCUCAGAGGCUUUGGUUUCUAAGAAAGAAAAGCUUCUGUCUUAGCUGACCUGCUAGUUAUUCACUGCUCCUCACUUUGGACUGAGAUUCUAGGGCUAAAGGAAUAUUUUUAAAGGAACCUGAUUUUAUCUCCCACUUCCAAGAAGUACCUGUUUCCUUAUGGCUUCUAGUACUUAUAGACUUCUGUUACUGCAUGUUCAUUGUUGUUCUUUACCAUCCUUUCUUAGCUUUCUUUACAUUACAUUUCCAUUUGUAAAUUCAGGACCCAAAUACGCUAUCAUAAAUAACAGCUAUUUAUUGGGUCGUUUUCUCUGCCAAUAAACAUUUAAGGCUUUAAUGACUAGAAUCUCCAUCCUAGGAUAAGCCCUGGUAAGCUUGCAUCUGACUUACACUGCUAUUUAUUUCCAUUUGGAAAUGCUUUGGUGGCAACAGUUUUGGAAAAACUGGGCUGCGGACCUUAGUUUGACUUGUGUUUAACAGUAUUAUUUGCUAAAUAAAUUCUA
Long non-coding RNA from Sarcophilus harrisii (Tasmanian devil), 4856 nucleotides. The record is from Ensembl. Lineage: Eukaryota; Metazoa; Chordata; Mammalia; Dasyuromorphia; Dasyuridae.